AUGGAUCAGGAGCUGAUCAAGCACCUUGAGGCCAAAGUGACUACUGACAGCGCGAGAUCUCACCCUCUCAUCGAUUUGUUCAUACCAACCAUCGACAGUGAGCACGGCAUAUGCUACACCCAUCUUGAGAAACUUCUAGGUAUCACACUGAGUGGCCUAAGCAAGCAUUUAUUCCAGCACAAUUCCAGGGUGUUCAAAAGGGGCACGUGGACGUGUCGCAAGAUACAGUCGGAGUGCGGCAUGCACGCGAUGUGGCACAAGACUAGCAAUACCUUGCCGGUGGUGGUCAACGACCGGCAGACGGGCAGCAAAAAGGUUCUGGUGCUGCACACCAACAAGAACUUCGACCAGCAAAGGACCAAUUGGGUGAUGCACCAGUACCACCACGGGGAUCUGGAGCAAGAGAAGGAGCGGGAGAUGGUCCUCUGCAAGAUUUUCUACCAGACGAACACUAGGGCCAGGAGUAAAAAGAUUAUAAGUUAG
Molecule: ribosomal RNA, 483 nt
Filed under: Triticum aestivum (bread wheat)
Lineage: Eukaryota; Viridiplantae; Streptophyta; Magnoliopsida; Poales; Poaceae
Description: partial small subunit ribosomal RNA
Source: RNAcentral